ACUCCUACGGGAGGCAGCAGUGGGGAAUAUUGCACAAUGGGCGCAAGCCUGAUGCAGCCAUGCCGCGUGUGUGAAGAAGGCCUUCGGGUUGUAAAGCACUUUCAGUCGUGAGGAAGGUAGUGUAGUUAAUAGCUGCAUUAUUUGAGUUAGCGACAGAAGAAGCACCGGCUAACUCGUGCCAGCAGCCGCGGUAAUACGGAGGGUGCGAGCGUUAAUCGGAAUUACUGGGCGUAAAGCGCAUGCAGGUGGUUUGUAAGUCAGAUGUGAAAAGCCCGGGGCUCAACCUCGGAAUUGCAUUUGAAACUGGCAGACUAGAUACUGUAGAGGGGGGUAGAAUUUCAGGUGUAGCGGUGAAAAUGCGUAGAGAUCUGAAGGAAUACGGUGGCAAGGCGGCCCCCUGGACAGAUACUGACAUCAGAUGCAAAGCGUGGGGAGCAAACAGGA
Molecule: ribosomal RNA, 444 nt
Filed under: uncultured bacterium
Lineage: Bacteria
Description: bacterial SSU rRNA
Rfam family: Bacterial small subunit ribosomal RNA
Source: RNAcentral